AUUGAACGCUGGCGGCAGGCCUAACACAUGCAAGUCGAACGAGUGGCGGACGGGUGAGUCAUGUCUGGGACACUGCCUGCUGGAGGGGGAUCACUACUGGAAACGGUAGCUAAUACCGCAUACCAUCAGAUGUGCCCAGAUGGGAUUCGCUUGUGGGGGGGGUAACGGCUCACCAAGGCGACGAUCCGUAGCUGGGCUGGGAGAAUGACCGGCCAAACGGGAACGGAGACACGGUCCAGACUCCUAAGGGGGGCAUCAGGGGGGAAUAUUGCACAAUGGGCGCAAGCCUGAUGCAGCCAUGCCGCGUGUAUGAAGAAGGCCUUCGGGUUGUAAAGUACUUUUAGCGGGGAGGCGUUACCCGCAGAAGAAGCACCGGCUAACUCCGUGCCAGCCGCCGCGGUAAUUC
Molecule: ribosomal RNA, 406 nt
Filed under: uncultured bacterium
Lineage: Bacteria
Description: partial 16S ribosomal RNA
Rfam family: Bacterial small subunit ribosomal RNA
Source: RNAcentral